Small nuclear RNA from Suncus etruscus (white-toothed pygmy shrew), 103 nucleotides. The record is from RefSeq and is a predicted model, not a curated record. NCBI's taxonomy places the organism in Eukaryota, Metazoa, Chordata, Mammalia, Eulipotyphla, Soricidae.
GUGCUCGCUUCGGCAGCACACAUACUAAAAUUGGAUACAGAGAAGAUUAACAUGGCCCCUGUGCAAGGAUGACACGCAAAAAUCACAAUUCAUUUUUUCUUUU